UGCGUAGGCGGCUUAGUAAGUUGGGUGUGAAAGCCCUCGGCUCAACCGAGGAAUUGCGCCCAAAACUACUAAGCUUGAGGGAGGCAGAGGUAAGCGGAACUAAUGGUGGAGCGGUGAAAUGCGUUGAUAUCAUUAGGAACACCUGAGGCGAAAGCAGCUUACUGGGUCUCUUCUGACGCUGAGGCACGAAAGCUAGGGGAGCGAACG
RNAcentral lists this ribosomal RNA (207 nucleotides) under uncultured bacterium. Its description in RNAcentral is "partial 16S ribosomal RNA". It matches the Rfam family "Bacterial small subunit ribosomal RNA", at positions 568 to 774 of the family's 1533-position model. The record is from RNAcentral.